AGAGUUUGAUCAUGGCUCAGAUUGAACGCUGGCGGCAUGCCUUACACAUGCAAGUCGAACGGCAGCGCGGGGGCAACCCUGGCGGCGAGUGGCGAACGGGUGAGUAAUACAUCGGAACGUGUCCUGGAGUGGGGGGAUAGCUCGGCGAAAGCCGGAUUAAUACCGCAUACGCUCUAAGGAGGAAAGCGGGGGAUCUUCGGACCUCGCGCUCAAGGGGCGGCCGAUGGCGGAUUAGCUAGUUGGUGGGGUAAAGGCCUACCAAGGCGACGAUCCGUAGCUGGUCUGAGAGGACGACCAGCCACACUGGGACUGAGACACGGCCCAGACUCCUACGGGAGGCAGCAGUGGGGAAUUUUGGACAAUGGGGGAAACCCUGAUCCAGCAAUGCCGCGUGUGUGAAGAAGGCCUUCGGGUUGUAAAGCACUUUUGUCCGGGAAGAAAUCCUUCGAGCGAAUACCUUGAGGGGAUGACGGUACUGGAAGAAUAAGCACCGGCUAACUACGUGCCAGCAGCCGCGGUAAUACGUAGGGUGCGAGCGUUAAUCGGAAUUACUGGGCGUAAAGCGUGCGCAGGCGGUUCGCUAAGACCGAUGUGAAAUCCCCGGGCUUAACCUGGGAACUGCAUUGGUGACUGGCGGGCUAGAGUAUGGCAGAGGGGGGUAGAAUUCCACGUGUAGCAGUGAAAUGCGUAGAGAUGUGGAGGAAUACCGAUGGCGAAGGCAGCCCCCUGGGCCAAUACUGACGCUCAUGCACGAAAGCGUGGGGAGCAAACAGGAUUAGAUACCCCCGUAGUCC
This 794-nucleotide ribosomal RNA is filed under the name uncultured bacterium. RNAcentral describes it as "bacterial SSU rRNA". It matches the Rfam family "Bacterial small subunit ribosomal RNA", at positions 8 to 796 of the family's 1533-position model. The record is from RNAcentral.